CGGCAGAGGAUUCUGCACUUCACAAAGCCACAGAACAAACCAGCCAAACGAGGGAAAAGUAUAUCUUUAAAGGGAUGCUUCUCAAGGCUGAUGCUCAUUAUCAACUCAAUAAUGGAGCUAGUCAUGGGAAGCUGGGGGAACAGCUUUUUGUGGAGGAUUUGAAUGGGAAGAAUGAAGUGAAGAGUAAGUACCCUCCUUCCUUGCCUCACUGGAACCGUCUGUGUUAUUAG
This 230-nucleotide long non-coding RNA is filed under the name Gopherus agassizii (Agassiz's desert tortoise). RNAcentral's name for it is "lncRNA (ENSGAGG00000023517.1)". Lineage: Eukaryota; Metazoa; Chordata; Testudines; Testudinidae. The record is from RNAcentral.